This is a long non-coding RNA of Xenia sp. Carnegie-2017, 1043 nucleotides long. RefSeq lists it as uncharacterized. NCBI's taxonomy places the organism in Eukaryota, Metazoa, Cnidaria, Anthozoa, Malacalcyonacea, Xeniidae. The record is from RefSeq and is a predicted model, not a curated record. The transcript has 10 exons.
AUAGUUUUGCUGUCCCAAACCAUGGCUGCCUUAAGUUUGCUAAUCAGGAUGAAGUAGAUGAUUUUGUUGAUCAAUAUAGCAAGUCUAAUAACAAAGUAGGAGAGAGUUGUCAGAUAUUUAAGGCAGGAGAAGUUACAGAAGCACUUCACUCCAAAGGAAAAAAUCAAGUUUUUGAUGAAAAAGGAGUGUUUGGUAGUUGUUGCAGUCAGCAUUCACACCUUGGACGAUUUUUCAGCACUAAAUAUGGGGAAAGAAUUUCGUAUUCGCUGUUCCUAAUCCAAAGCAUUUUAAAGAUGCUGACCAAAGUCCUGGUGUUGAUUUAAAAUAAUGUAUGAUAUUGGAUGUGUAUUAUCAUCACAUUUAAAGGCAAACAAGAGGCAUGACAUUUUGUCAAAAGUCUCAAUUUCGGUGCCGAUAUUUCAUUUUUAUGGACACAAGGCUUCAUGCCAGGUCAAAUUCAGUCCUAGAAGGCUCGAUGGUUUUGGUCUUACAGAUGGUGAGGCUAUUGAAAGGCUCUGGGCUUACCUUCGUAGGUUCUCUGCAAUUACUAAGGAGAUGUCUGCCAGUAGAAGAGUACCGUAGAUCUUUUGACAGACGCGCUUCUUCACAUAUCUCGAAGAAAUUUUAGCAAUGCAGGAAAAUCGUUAACGUCGAAGCUUAAAAAAUGUCUACAACUUAAAAUUAAAACGCAACAAGAAAUGAAGGAUUUAUUUAGCGAACUACCUGUGACGUACGAUCCUGAAAUUGUUUGUCAGUGGGAGGCCAGAGAGAAGGAAAUUAUGUCAAGAGUCAACCCAGAACAUAAAGAAACCACGGAGAACUGGAAAGUGACGUACGUUCGAAAGCUACUGCAUUUUAAACAACUAAGUGCUACAUCAUUCGGAUGUUUUGAAGAAAACCAGGAGAUAACAUCUCUGAAGAUUACUCAAUUCAUCAGAUGUCGAAAAAACUAUACCAGUUUCGAAAGAUUUUAAAAGAUAUUGAACGAAAGCAUUCUAUAAAAGAAAGAUGGAAACCUGGUCAUCCUAAUUUUGACAUCGUUG